CACUUCGGGCCGCUCAUCGAGGGCGACGUGGGCGAGUUCCUCCGUGGCCGCCGCGCAGGACGGCGCCUGGGCCGGCUACCCCGAGCUGCUGGCCAUGGGCGCAUGCUGAACCUCAACAUCCACCUGACGACGGGGGGCCGCUGGGAGAGCCCCACCGUGUCCACCAUGGUCCACUACCUGGGGCCCCGAGGACGCCCUGAGGCCCAGCAUCUGGCUCAGCUGGCUCAGCAACGGCCACUACGACGCGGUGUUCGACCGCUGCUACCCCCAACCCGGAGUACGAGCGCUGGUGCCGGCAGACGCAGGCGCAGCGGCAGCGCGACGAGGAGCUGGCCAGGUCCAUGGCCGUGUCCCUGUCCAAGAUGUACAUCCAGCAGAACGCGUGCUCCGGAACCUGAGCCUCGCUGCGUCUGGACCGGGUUGCAAGGGGCAAGGGGAAGAAUGCCGGCAGGGAAGUCAUGCUCCGCCGUUGCUUCUCCUCCUUCUGCCGGCCCUGGCUCGCUUCUGGCCGUCGGGUUCAGUAACCCACGUGUUACUCCGAGAGCCAAAUCGUCCACAGAGCCAGCUCCCAGGCUGCUGUGUGGGGAGCGCGUGGGUGAGUGCCUACAGGUUACCUAG
Long non-coding RNA from Oryctolagus cuniculus (rabbit), 618 nucleotides. The record is from Ensembl. Lineage: Eukaryota; Metazoa; Chordata; Mammalia; Lagomorpha; Leporidae.